UUUCCUAUUUUUUUCCUAUUUUUUCCCAUUUUUUUUCCUUUUUUUUUUUUUUAAUUUGAUUGGAAUUGGGUUUUUUAAAUUGGUUUUUUUCCCCCCCCUCCGGAAUCCCAAUCCCAGAUUUUUCUCGAAUCCCAAUCUCAGAUUUUUUUUCCCUAUUUUUUCCCAUUUUUCCCCAUUUUUUCCUUUUUAUUUUUUUCCAAUUUAAUUGGAACUGGGGUUUUUAAAUCGUUUUUUCCCCUUGUCUGGAAUCCAAAUCCCAGAUUUUUCAGAAAUUCCAAUCCUGGGGGUUUUUGAAUUCCCCUCUGGAAUUCCAAUCCCCAAUUUAUUUUAUUUUUUUUCCCUGUGGAAUCCCAAUCCCUUUUUUUUUUUUUUUUUUAAUGAAAUUCAAAUCCCAAAUUUUUUUUAUGGAAUUCCCAAUCUCCAAUUUAUUUUAUUUUUUCCCUCUGGAAUCCCAAUCCCAUUUUUUUUAAUGGAAUUCAAAUCCCAUUUUUCUUUUCUGGAAUUCCCAAUCCCAAUCCCCAAUUUAUUUUAUUUUUUUCCCUCUGGAAUCCCAAUCCCAUUUUUUUUUUUUUAUGGAAUUCAAAUCCCAAAUUUUUUUUUAUGGAAUUCCCAAUCCCAAUCCAAAAUUUAUUUUAUUUUUUCCCCCUCUGGAAUCCCAAUCCCAUUUUUUUUUUUUAAAUGGAAUUCAAAUCCCAAAUUUUUUUUCUGGAAUUCCCAAUCCCAAUCCCCAAUUUAUUUUAUUUUUUCCCUCUGCAAUCCCAAUCCCAUUUUUUUUUUAUGGAAUUCAAAUCCCAAAUUUUUUUUUAUGGAAUUCCCAAUCCCAAAUUUAUUUUAAUUUUUCCCUCUGGAAUCCCAAUCCCAUUUUUUUUUAAUGGAAUUCAAAUCCCAUUUUUUUUCUGGAAUUCCCAAUCCCAAUCCCCAAUUUAUUUAAUUUUUUUUCCCAGUGGAAUCCAAAUCCCAUUUUUUUUUUUAUGGAAUUCAAAUCCCAAUUUUUUUUCUGGAAUUCCCAAUCCCAAUCCCAAAUUUAUUGUUUUUUUCCCCCUCUGGAAUCCCAAUCCCAUUUUUUUUUUAAUGGAAUUCAAAUCCCAAAUUUUUUUUCUGGAAUUCCCAAUCCCAAUCCCCAAUUUAUUUUUUUUCCCUCUGGAAUCCCAAUCCCAUUUUUUUUUUUAUGGAAUUCAAAUCCCAAAUUUUUUUCUGGAAUUCCCAAUCCCAAAUUUAUUUUAUUUUUUCCCUCUGGGAUCCCAAUCCCAUUUUUUUUUUUUAUGGAAUUCAAAUCCCAAAUUUUUUUUUUAUGGAAUUCAAAUCCCAAUCCCCAAUUUAUUUUAUUUUUUUCCUCUGGAAUCCCGAUCCCUUUUUUUGUUUUUUAAUGAAAUUCAAAUCCCAAAUUUUUUUCUGGAAUUCCCAAUCCCAAUCCCCAAAUUUAUUUUAUUUUUUCCCCCUCUGGAAUCCCAAUCCCAUUUUUUUUUAAUGGAAUUCAAAUCCCAAUUUUUUUUUAUGGAAUUCCCAAUCCCAAUCCCCAAUUUAUUUUAUUUCUUCCCUCUAGAAUCCGAAUCCUAUUUUUUAAUGAAAUUCAAAUACCAAAUUUUUUUUUAUGGAAUUCCCAAUCCCAAUCCAAAAUUUAUUUUAUUUUUUCCCCCUCUGGAAUCCCGAUCCCAUUUUUUUUUUUUUUUUUNUCUCCAUCAUGGAGCGCGAGCGCGGAGCCCCCGGGCCCGGGAGCCCAACGGGGACCCAGAGAUCCAGCUGGGAAUGAAUCAGGGAAGGAGGGAAUGCCGGGAAUCCUGCGGGAAUUCUGCGGGAAUCCUGCGGGAAUUAAUGCUGGGAAUCCUCUGA
Molecule: long non-coding RNA, 1830 nt
Filed under: Zonotrichia albicollis (white-throated sparrow)
Lineage: Eukaryota; Metazoa; Chordata; Aves; Passeriformes; Passerellidae
Description: lncRNA (ENSZALG00000000994.1)
Source: RNAcentral